CUCUUCCUACGGGACGCAGCAGUGAGGAAUAUUGGUCAAUGGACGAGAGUCUGAACCAGCCAAGUAGCGUGAAGGAUGACUGCCCUAUGGGUUGUAAACUUCUUUUAUAUGGGAAUAAAGUUUUCCACGUGUGGAAUUUUGUAUGUACCAUAUGAAUAAGGAUCGGCUAACUCCGUGCCAGCAGCCGCGGUAAUACGGAGGAUCCGAGCGUUAUCCGGAAUGAUUGGGCGUAAAGGGUGCGUAGGCGGCCUGCUAAGUCUGGAGUGAAAGGUACCGGCUCAACCGGUACAGGCUCUGGAAACUGG
Molecule: ribosomal RNA, 305 nt
Filed under: uncultured bacterium
Lineage: Bacteria
Description: bacterial SSU rRNA
Rfam family: Bacterial small subunit ribosomal RNA
Source: RNAcentral